AUUUAUAGUGUAAACUAAAUGCCGGACAAUACGAACACUGUUUAAAAUCCAAAGAACUUGGCGGUGUCUUACCAUUACAGGGGAACCUGUCUCUUAAUUCGAUAAUCCACGUUUACUCUUACCUAAAAUUGAAUGAGCAGCCUGUGUACUGCCGUCGUCAGUAUACCUCUAAAAGAACUUAAGUAUGCAACAAUGUCUCUAACAUUAACGUCAGGUCAAAGUGCAGCCUAUGUUUAGGGGUUCGAUGGGUUACAAUCUAAACUAUAGAUACGUAAGUCUAGCUUAUAUACUAGUUAGAAGGUGGACUUGUAAGUAAUUUAUAUAGAAAAUAUAAAAAUGAAGUUGAAUCU
Molecule: ribosomal RNA, 350 nt
Filed under: Phreodrilidae sp. P11
Lineage: Eukaryota; Metazoa; Annelida; Clitellata; Tubificida; Phreodrilidae
Description: partial small subunit ribosomal RNA
Rfam family: Bacterial small subunit ribosomal RNA
Source: RNAcentral